UACGUAGGGUGCGAGCGUUGUCCGGAAUUAUUGGGCGUAAAGAGCUCGUAGGCGGUGUGUCGCGUCGGCCGUGAAAACCUGGGGCUCAACUCUGGGCGUGCGGUCGAUACGGGCAUCACUUGAGUUCGGCAGGGGAGACUGGAAUUCCUGGUGUAGCGGUGAAAUGCGCAGAUAUCAGGAGGAACACCGGUGGCGAAGGCGGGUCUCUGGGCCGAUGACUGACGCUGAGGAGCGAAAGCAUGGGUAGCGAACAGG
RNAcentral lists this ribosomal RNA (255 nucleotides) under uncultured bacterium. Its description in RNAcentral is "partial 16S ribosomal RNA". It matches the Rfam family "Bacterial small subunit ribosomal RNA", at positions 524 to 776 of the family's 1533-position model. The record is from RNAcentral.